Molecule: long non-coding RNA, 1428 nt
Filed under: Strigops habroptila (Kakapo)
Lineage: Eukaryota; Metazoa; Chordata; Aves; Psittaciformes; Psittacidae
Description: lncRNA (ENSSHBG00005019290.1)
Source: RNAcentral
CUAAGCCCUGCCCACCCACGCUGUUUCUCUCCCACUGCAGGGGCUCCGCCGCCGUCUGGCCCCGCCCAGCCCCGCCCGCAGCCGCAGGGACAGCCCCGCCCACCUGGGGGCGUGGCCUCACCACGCCCCGCCUCCCCGGGCGCCUCUCCUCCUCGAGGCCCCGCCCAGCCCCGCCCGCCAGGCCAGCAGCCCCGGCCCCAAACCCCGCCCACCUCCCCGCAGCCCCGCCCGCAAGCCCCACCCACUUCCCCGCAGCCCCGCCCCCAGACUCCACCUCCCGCCACCCAGCCCCGUCCACAAGCCCCGCCCACCGCGCAGCCCCGCCCUCAGGCUCCGCCCACUUCUCAGCCCCGUCCUCAAGCCCCGCCCACCGCGCAGCCCCGCCCUCAAGCCCCACCAACUGGGAUGCAGCCCCGUGCUCAAGCCCCGCCCACUUCCCCUCAGCCCCGCCCUCAAGCCCCUCCCACCUCCCCUCAGCCCCGCCCUCAGGCUCCGCCUGCUUCUCAACCCCGCCCUCAAGCCCCGCUCAUCUCCCCUCAGCCCCGCCCUCAGGCUCCGCCCACUGUUCAGCCCCGCCCUCAAGCCCCGCCCACCUCCCCUCAGCCCCGCCACCCCGGCUCCCCCUCCACCCCGCAGCCUCGCCCCCAAACUCCCCCCGCUGCUGCUCAGCCCCGCCCCCCGGGCCCGCAGGCCCAGCCCACCACGCGUCAGCCCCGCCCCCAGGCCCCGCCCCUCGCCCCCAAACCUGCUCUGGCUCCUAAACCGGGCACGGCCCAGCCCCCCAGCCCCACCCCCGAGCAGGGCGGCCCCGAGGGUCUCCGGUCCCUGCGGCAGAGCUUCGCCUCCCUCUUCACCGACUAAAGGGGGGGGUGCCCCAUUUCCCCCCUUAUCCUCCCCCUCCCUAUCCCUUUUAGAGCCCGGGACCACCCUCUGGCCCCCCAGCUUGUGUGCCCCUAAGCCCCGCCCCCCCACGGGGAUGUGGGGGGGGCAAUGACACGAUGGUGAUGUUCGGUUUGUGCUCGUGACUGUGUGUAAGCCCCGCCCACGGUGUAAGCUCCGCCCCCCUCGCUUGGCCACGCCCCCCCGCAGUGAAGUGGGGGGCAAUAAAGCCCCAGAGCUGCUGCUGUGUUACUGUAUGGGUGCUAUAGGACAAGGCGAAUGUCUAUAGAUAUAUAUGGGGGGAGCCUGUGUGGACCAUAUUGAUGUGUGUGUGGGGGGGGAAUGGACCCCACGGAAUGGGGUAUGGAGGUAUGGACUGCCUGUGACCAGUUAUAGAGCUUAUAGGGCCAGCGAGGGGGGUUAUAGAGUGUGGAAGGGGAGCUGUGGACCAUAUAGAGCCCCGGGUGGGGGGGGCAAAGACCCUGUGGGGAUCCCUAUAGAGCCUGGAGGGGGAGCUAUGGACCCUAUAGAGCCUGGAGUGGGAGCUAU